This 1463-nucleotide long non-coding RNA is filed under the name Spirodela polyrhiza (greater duckweed). RNAcentral describes it as "long non-coding RNA (SPOL_LNC001280)". The record is from RNAcentral. Lineage: Eukaryota; Viridiplantae; Streptophyta; Magnoliopsida; Alismatales; Araceae.
GCGGUCGCCAGACUCCUUGCCGGUGCCGCCGAGCGUCACGUUGUGGAGGAUGGACACCUCGUCGCCGACGACGGCCGUCUCCCCCACCACGAGGCCCGUGGCGUGGUCCAGGAGGAUCCCCUUGCCGAUCCGGGCCCCCGGGUGGAUGUCCACAGCGAAGACCUCCGAGACGCGGCUCUGGAGGAACAGGGCCAGCACUCUGCGCCCGCUGGCCCACAGCCGGUGCGCCGCCCGGUGGGCCUGGCAGGCGAGGAAGCCCUUGUAGUAGAGGAGGCAGUGGGCCAUGCUGGAGCAGGCAGGGUCCCGGUCGCGCGCCGCCCGGAGAUCGGCCCGCACGGCGCACUGGACCUCCGGGUCGGCCAGGAAGGCGUCGAGGAAGAUCUCCACCAGGACACCGCAGGGGAUCUGCUCGGCGCUGCCGAGCUUGUUGGCGAGGUGCGAGGCGAGGGCGCUCUCCAGGCAGGCGUGGGAGAGGAUGGCGUUGUGGUAGUAGGUCCGCAGCACGGGCUCCUUCUCCACGUCCGCCUCCGCUUCCUCCCGCAGCUUGGCCCAGACCUCGUCGACGUCCUCCUCGGAGUCUCCCCCCGGCAGGAGGUACUUCUUGUUGCCGGCGGAGGGGAAGGCCAGCUCUGGGAAGUCCGGCCGGGACAGGUCCACGAACUUGUACGGGCAGGCGGCGUCGAACCUGGCGCCGGGGGGCGCCCCGCUGCUUGUGGCCCGGGCCCGGGCGGCGGGCUCACCCUCACGCCGGGUGUUGAAGGCGACGCAGGUGGCCAUGGCUGCGACGCCCCGGCGGCGCUGCUCGAUCGGCCUGCGGAAGGAUGAAUGACAGACGGUCGACGAGGCCGACAUAAAUAUUAUACCUGCACCAAGCCCGUCCAGGAAAAAGAUAAUCCGUGACGGCGGCCGGAGGCGAGGUGAGACAGCGGACUUCUGUGGAUGUGGAUCACCGGUGAGAAGAUUGAGCAGACGGAGGCGGGCCGGCGGGCUAUUAUUUAUAGGAUGUGUGGCCUCUCCCAUCUUCCUCCAUCCCCUUCUGAUAAAAGCGGAGCAGGCGGGGCGAGGCAACCGGGAGCCCCUUCCAAGUCCCCCCCCUUUGUCGGGGACGAAGAUAGACGAUGCCGGCGGCUCUGUAGACGACGCCGAAUAGUAAAAAGGCGCCGACGGCGAAAUGACGACGUAACGGCUAGCGUCGUCACUCGCCCCUUCCUCCUUCCCCAAGACAGCCGGCUCGCAGUGGCAGAAGCUGCUGCCUUCCUCUCCCACGCUUCUCCGCAAUAAUUGAGGGCCGGGGACCGCCGGGGACGCCGACAGCGAGGCCUCCGUUCGCCGCAGCCCACACGCGGGACGCCGACGUGUAGGGUCCUCCGCCGGGGGAGGGACUCAUGGCCACGGGGCGAAGCGUCGCCUCGCACCCACGUGUGCCGGCCAGGAUCGGCGUUGACGUUGGGCGUGACGCGGGU